This 74-nucleotide transfer RNA is filed under the name Camelus bactrianus (Bactrian camel). It matches the Rfam family "tRNA". From Rfam's summary of the family: Transfer RNA (tRNA) molecules are approximately 80 nucleotides in length. Their secondary structure includes four short double-helical elements and three loops (D, anti-codon, and T loops). Lineage: Eukaryota; Metazoa; Chordata; Mammalia; Artiodactyla; Camelidae. RNAcentral also lists the same sequence under 2 other names. The record is from Rfam by way of RNAcentral.
GAGGGUAUAGCUCAACUGGUAGAGUGCAUGCUUAGUCAUGCACAAGGUCCUAGGUUCAAUCCCCAGUACCUCCU